Molecule: ribosomal RNA, 253 nt
Filed under: uncultured bacterium
Lineage: Bacteria
Description: partial 16S ribosomal RNA
Rfam family: Bacterial small subunit ribosomal RNA
Source: RNAcentral
UACGUAGGGGGCAAGCGUUGUCCGGAUUUAUUGGGCGUAAAGCGCGUGUAGGCGGCCUGACAGGUCUGCUGUGAAAACUCGAGGCUCAACCUCGAGAUGUCGGCGGAAACCGUCUGGCUAGAGUCCGGAAGAGGAGAGUGGAAUUCCUGGUGUAGCGGUGAAAUGCGCAGAUAUCAGGAGGAACACCCGUGGCGAAAGCGGCUCUCUGGGACGGUACUGACGCUGAGACGCGAAAGCGUGGGGAGCAAACAGG